This 215-nucleotide long non-coding RNA is filed under the name Nicotiana benthamiana. Its description in RNAcentral is "long non-coding RNA (NBEN_LNC016357)". The record is from RNAcentral. Lineage: Eukaryota; Viridiplantae; Streptophyta; Magnoliopsida; Solanales; Solanaceae.
UGAGAAUGCAAUACAAAUCCAAGAGAGAAAAACACAAUUACACGAAAAGUGUUUUUUGUUCUUCUAAUUUGAGUUGAGAUUUUUGAGAGAAAUAUCAACACAAUAUUCUUCGUUCAAUUUGUUCACGGGUUUCAUUGAUCAAAGAGUUGAUAGCAAGGAUCGGUCUCGCUGUGGAUACGCAUAGAGUCUUCGCACUAUCGAAGAAAUUCUGAAAA